UUAUGGACGUUAUAUCAGUGGAAUAAGGUGGAUUUCAAGUUAAAACAACCGUUGAAAAUUGCAAUUUCUUCGACAGCGAGUUAUUGAUUUUGAAAAGUGGUAGUAUACGAAAAAUCGUGCCUACUAUAUACAUGAUAGCUUAUAUACAUGGCGCUGUACCCAUAACACAAGCCUUCUUGAGCUUACUUAUGUCUAUAAAAAGAAAACGUGAUACUUAAUGUAUAAAAAUGUAUUAUUGUAGUUAGUCAUAUUGAACAAGGUUUCCCGUGGGACUGAUAUGAAAAUCGCGAAAAUAUACCCCUGGGAGUCAUUACGUUUUUUAGCGGUUUUGUGGUCAGUACAGAUUUUUAACAUUCGGGAUCACGAUCCCAAAAUCACCUAGUAUAUUUCGCCAAUUUAGACAACUAGUAACGAUUUCAGCUGUAAAAUUCGGGGCACGAUUUAUCGUCGACUUCAUGUCUCUUUUACUAUUAAUAGUACAUUGUGCAACGAGCGGUGUAAGUGAAAUUUUGCAAACGAGGUCUUUAGAUUAAAGACUCGAGUUUGCAAUAUUCUUACCCUCAGAAUUACACACAAUGUUUUCAUCACACUUGCGAAGAAAAAAACUAAAUUUUAAGCGAAAUAAUUCUUAAAUACGGUGACAUUUGAAACAUUCGUCCGCCAUAUUGUCAUUCUUUAUCGGGUUAGGCAUCGAAGGCACAGACCUAUCCGGUAUUCAGCCGCGAUUGAAAAUUCUGUAAUAGUACAUUACAAGUGCGAAAAAUAGGAAAUUCAAAACGAGUGGCGAUAAAUUAAAACACGACUGAAGGGAGUGUUUUAAAUCGACACGAGUUGCGAAUUACCUAUUCGCACAUGUAUCGUACAACGUUUUACAGUACAUAUGGCCCUUUAAAUGUUCGACACAGUAACGUAAUAUGCAAAUUUUCGCACUAGUGCGGUAAAGUAGCACCAUAUGUACUGUAAAAAACAUUUUAAAGGGCUAUUAAAUUAAUAAAAUUAAAUAUUUAUUAAAAUAAAUUAUGAACAUCAGUAUUUUAAAAAUAUUUUUUUUUUUCACAAUCCAUAACUCUUGCGGAAACAAUACAUGCCUUUGUCCUUCCUGCCUGCAGUAUACCUGCAUGAAAUCAGGUCUUUUUCGAGCAAGUGUGAUGAAAUAACUAUUUGCUACACCUUUUUUAAUCGAUAUAAAUAUUAUACGACAUUAUUACACAAAUUGACUAAGUCCCACAGUAAGCUCAAUAAGGCUUGUGUUGAGGGUACUUAGACAACGAUAUAUAUAAUAUAUAAAUAUUUAUAAAUACUUAAAUACAUAGAAAACACCCAUGACUCAGGAACGAAUAUCCAUGCUCAUCACACGAAUAAAUGCCCUUACCAGGAUUUGAACCCAGGACCAUCAGCUUCGUAGGCAGGGUCACUACCCACUAGGCCAAACCGGUCGUCAAAUAUGGUAAAUAUGGUAGUUAUAUUUAGAGAUUUGUCUAAUAGUGACUAGAAAUUGCUGCAGAAUUGUCAAAAGCGGCAUAAAAGCCUGUAAUAGGUAUUCCAUUAUAGCAAGAAAAGCCAGUUUAAUUCACUCAUUCUAAUUAGGUACGUAUAUAUACUUGAUAAUGUUUUCAUAUCAGCUAAAACGGCGGAUAAACUACUAUGAAAAAACUUACCUGUUUCAAUCCAUUAUUUUUAGUGGUGCAUUAAAAAAAGGUACGUUAGCCAAUUAGAAAGACAUGUUAAUGGAAUAAAACUGCUUAUUUAGGUUAAUUUUUAUUGCAAAAUAUUAGAGUGCGAAUAGGUAUACGGACAUUCUGUGUACUGUUUAAUAAGCAGUUUUAUGUACUAAGGUAAAGUGACCUAGGGAAGAAAAGUUAUUUUACGUAAGUAAUGAUUUUAUUAAAAAAACUUGCAGAACAGUUUUAUUUCACCAGUAACUUAUUGAGGUGUUUUAGAUUGAUUUUGAUGUUAAUAUACUUAAUAAAAAAUACAAUG
Molecule: long non-coding RNA, 1980 nt
Organism: Cydia pomonella (codling moth)
Lineage: Eukaryota; Metazoa; Arthropoda; Insecta; Lepidoptera; Tortricidae
Exons: 2
Source: RefSeq, a predicted model, not a curated record